AGAGUUUGAUCCUGGCUCAGGACGAACGCUGGCGGCGUGCUUAACACAUGCAAGUCGAGCGGUAAGGCCCUUCGGGGUACACGAGCGGCGAACGGGUGAGUAACACGUGAGCAAUCUGCCCAUCACAUCGGGAUAACUCCGGGAAACCGGUGCUAAUACCGAAUAUGACCACUUCAGGCAUCUGACGGUGGUGGAAAGUUCCGGCGGUGAUGGAUGAGCUCGCGGCCUAUCAGCUUGUUGGUGGGGUAACGGCCCACCAAGGCUUCGACGGGUAGCCGGCCUGAGAGGGUGACCGGCCACACUGGGACUGAGACACGGCCCAGACUCCUACGGGAGGCAGCAGUGGGGAAUAUUGGACAAUGGGCGAAAGCCUGAUCCAGCAACGCCGCGUGAGGGAUGACGGCCUUCGGGUUGUAAACCUCUUUCAGCAGGGACGAAGCGAAAGUGACGGUACCUGCAGAAGAAGCACCGGCCAACUACGUGCCAGCAGCCGCGGUAAUACGUAGGGUGCGAGCGUUGUCCGGAAUUAUUGGGCGUAAAGGGCUCGUAGGCGGUUUGUCGCGUCGGGAGUGAAAACUCAGGGCUUAACCCUGAGCCUGCUUCCGAUACGGGCAGACUAGAGGUAUGCAGGGGAGAACGGAAUUCCUGGUGUAGCGGUGAAAUGCGCAGAUAUCAGGAGGAACACCGGUGGCGAAGGCGGUUCUCUGGGCAUUACCUGACGCUGAGGAGCGAAAGUGUGGGGAGCGAACAGGAUUAGAUACCCUAGUAGUCC
This 772-nucleotide ribosomal RNA is filed under the name uncultured bacterium. Its description in RNAcentral is "bacterial SSU rRNA". It matches the Rfam family "Bacterial small subunit ribosomal RNA", at positions 8 to 796 of the family's 1533-position model. The record is from RNAcentral.